UAAUUAAGAGUAGCAUAAAUUAUAAACAAUAAAAUCAAAUUAAUAGUACAAAAAAGUCCAUCACUGCGCAGUAGUUGUUGAUCCAAAAAGCAGCAACAUAAAAUAACAGUUUUUCAAGUAUUCAAAAAACAACAGCAUAUCAAGCAUUCCAAAAAGCAACAGCAUAAAACAACAUGUAUUUUCAAAUAUUUCAAAAAGCAACAACAUAAAGUAACAUGUAUUUUCAAGCAUUCCAAAAAUCAACUACACAAAAUAACAGGUGAUUGCAAACAAAUGUUGCUAUGUCUAUUAUGGAUUCGUUUAUGGUUGUGUAUGGGUUGUUUAACAUAUGAGCAAAGUGUGGUUAGACAUUGGUUUGAAAUAGAAUAAUUAUUUUUGUCGGUUCAGAAUAAUUGUGUUGUGUUGAUUGUGGUUACUGAUUAAAACUACCUAUAAUCAUUACUUAGUAAGAGGAUGAGGUUUUAUGUAUUUAAUUUGUUUGUCUCAAUAUGGUUGUGUUGAAUGAAGAUUUUGUAAUGUAAAAUUCACUUUUAAUGUAAGGAGCGCAUUGUUCCCGGGAUGGUUAAGUGAAAAUUUUGAAAUGUAGAACUGUUAAUGUAAGCUGAAGAUUCCAAUAUAUAGAGAUUUGAUUGGACGGAAUCGGUUCAUUGUUGAUAUUUGCAAGCCUGAAAAGCUUUUUGCACCAAAGGUAUUAUUACAGAAUGUAGAAUUUGUCCUUUUGUGCUUUUGACUGAAUGAUAUAUAGUAUUGAUGCAAAUGUAUUAAUUUAAAAAGUAUUCAAUUUAAACAAGCAAGAUUGCUUGUACCGGAACAUGGAAGCACCGCUCCACUUGACACUCCUACCUUAAGGUAAAAAUAUUUUAUCAUUUUAUUAAUUUUUAAAUUUAUUAUUUGAUAUAACUGCAAAAAUAGAGAAAAAAAAGGGUUGAUGUAAGAGAGUUAUUGGAUUUUGAAUUUGGAGUUUUGAGGUUGGAGAUUUGGAGAGAGAGGGAAGGGAGGAUAGGUCUAGGAUUUAUAUUUAUAUAUUAUAUAUAUAUUUAUACAAUAAUAGAGUACUCUGACUACUAAUUAAGAGUAUCAUAAAUUAUAAACAAUAAAAAUCAAAUUAAUAGUACAAAAAAGUCCAUCAGUGCGCAGUAGCUGUUGAUCCAAAAAGCAACAACAUAAAAUAAUAGUUUUUUCAAGUAUUCAAAAAACUAGCAGCAUAAAGCAGCAAGUUGUUUCAAGCAUUCCAAAAAGCAACAUCAUGAAGUAAUAGAUAUUUGUAAAUAUUUCAAAAAGCAACAGCAUUAAGUAACAACUAUUUUAAAGCAUUCCAAAAUUCAACUACAUAAAGUAACAGGUGAUUGCAAACAAAUGUUGCUAUUUCUAUUAUGGAUUCGUGUGUAUUUGUUGUUUAACAUAUGAGCAAAGUGUGGUUAGACUUUAGUUUGAAAUAUAAUAAUUAUUUUUGUGUGUUCAGAAUGAAUGUGUUGUGUUGAAGGUUACUGAUUAAAACUACCUAUAAUAAUCAUUACUUAGUAAGAAUUGUGGAUGAGAUUUUAUGUAUUUAAUUUGUUUGUCUCAAUAUGGUUGGGUUGAAUGAAGAUUUUGUAAUGUAAAAUUCACUUUUAAUGUAAGGAGCACAUUGUUCCUGGGAUGGUUAAGUGAAAUUUUUGAAAUGUAGAAUUCACUAUUAAUGUAAGCUAAAGAUUGGAAGUAUAUAGAGAUUCGAUUGGAGAGGAAUCGGUUCAUUGUUGAUAUUUGCAAGCAUGAAAAGUUUUUUGCAUUAAAGGUAUUAUUACUAAAAGUAGAAUUUGUCCUUUUGUGCUUUUGACUGAAUGAUUUAUAGUAUUGAUGCAAAUGUAUUAACUUUUUGGGAAUUUAUUUGUAGGUUAUUAUACUGAUUUUUGCAAGAUUGCUCAAUUUAAAAAGUAUUCAGUUCCAAUGGGAGAUGAGGUACUACUUAUCUUAUUAGGUUUUUUUUACACUUGUGUUUAAACUGAGUAAACAGAAAAGAAAGAACAAUACCCGCUUGUUCUGGAACAUGGAAGCACCGCUCCACUUGACUCUCCUACUUUAAGGUAAAAAUAUUUUAUCAUUCUAUUAAUUUUUUAAUUUAAUAUUUGAUAAUUGCAAAAAUUGAGAAAAAGAAGGGUGGAUGCAAGAGAGUUAUUGGAUUUUGAAUUUGGAGGUUGGAGGUUGGAGAGAGAGGGAAGAGAGGGUAGGUCUAGGACUAGGUCUAGGUCAUAGAUUAUUAUUUUUAUAGGUUCUAAAUAUAUAUAUUUAUAUAUUAUAUAUAUUUAUAUUUAUUAUAAAUAUUUAUAUAUAUGUACUUAUAUAUACAAUAAUAGAGUAAUCUGACUACUAAUUAAGAGUAUCAUAUAAACAAUAAAAAUCAAAUUAAUAGUACAAAAAAGUCCAUCAGUGCACAGUAGUUGUUGAUCCAAAAAGCAACAACAUAAAAUAAUAGUUUUUUCAAGUAUUCAAAAAAGCAACAGUAUAAAGCAGGAAGUUGUUUCAAGAAUUCCAGAAACCAACAACAUAAAAUGUAAAUAUUUCAAAAAGCAAUAGCAGGUGAUUGCAAACAAAUGUUGCUAUUUCUUUUAUGGAUUCACUUAUGGUUAUGUAUUGAUUGUUUAACAUACGAGCAAAGUGUUGUUUGAAAUACAAUAAUUAUUUUUUUGUGUUCAGAAUGAAUGUGUUGUGUUGAUUGUGGGGUUACUGAUUAAAACUACCUAUAAUAAUCAUUACUUGGUAAGAAUUGUGGAUGAGGUUUUAUGUAUUUAAUAAUUUGUCUGUCUCAAUAUGAUUGGGUUGAAUGAAGAUUUUGUAAUGUAAAAUUCACUUUUAAUUGUAAGGAGCACGUUGUUCCUGGGAUGGUCAAGUGAAAUUUUUGAAAUGUAGAAUUCACUAUUAAUGUAAGCUGAAGAGUGGAAGUAUAUAGAGACGGAAUCGGUUCAUUGUUGAUAUUUGCAAGCCUGAAAAGCUUUUUGCACCAAAGGUAUUAUUACAGAAUGUAGAAUUUGUCCUUUUGUGCUUUUGACUGAAUGAUAUAUAGUAUUGAUGCAAAUGUAUUAAUUUAAAAAGUAUUCAAUUUAAACAAGCAAGAUUGCUUGUACCGGAACAUGGAAGCACCGCUCCACUUGACACUCCUACCUUAAGGUAAAAAUAUUUUAUCAUUUUAUUAAUUUUUAAAUUUAUUAUUUGAUAUAACUGCAAAAAUAGAGAAAAAAAAGGGUUGAUGUAAGAGAGUUAUUGGAUUUUGAAUUUGGAGUUUUGAGGUUGGAGAUUUGGAGAGAGAGGGAAGGGAG
This 3293-nucleotide long non-coding RNA is filed under the name Panax ginseng (ginseng). RNAcentral describes it as "long non-coding RNA (PGIN_LNC005981)". Lineage: Eukaryota; Viridiplantae; Streptophyta; Magnoliopsida; Apiales; Araliaceae. The record is from RNAcentral.